Triticum aestivum (bread wheat) is the source of this 135-nucleotide non-coding RNA. Lineage: Eukaryota; Viridiplantae; Streptophyta; Magnoliopsida; Poales; Poaceae. The record is from Rfam.
UUUCUACUCCCUCCGUCCGAAAAUACUUGUCAUCAAAAUGGAUAAAAAUAGAUGUAUCUAAGACUAAAAUACGUCUAGUUACAUUUCCUUUUAUCCCUUUUGAUGACAAGUAUUUCCGGACGGAGGGAGUAUUUG